RNAcentral lists this ribosomal RNA (497 nucleotides) under uncultured bacterium. RNAcentral's name for it is "partial 16S ribosomal RNA". It matches the Rfam family "Bacterial small subunit ribosomal RNA", at positions 28 to 507 of the family's 1533-position model. The record is from RNAcentral.
GAUGAACGCUGGCGGCGUGCCUAAUACAUGCAAGUCGAGCGAACAGACGAGGAGCUUGCUCCUCUGACGUUAGCGGCGGACGGGUGAGUAACACGUGGAUAACCUACCUAUAAGACUGGGAUAACUUCGGGAAACCGGAGCUAAUACCGGAGAAUAUAUUGAACCGCAUGGUUCAAUAGUGAAAGACGGUUUUGCUGUCACUUAUAGAUGGAUCCGCGCCGCAUUAGCUAGUUGGUAAGGUAACGGCUUACCAAGGCAACGAUGCGUAGCCGACCUGAGAGGGUGGUCGGCCACACUGGAACUGAGACACGGUCCAGACUCCUACGGGAGGCAGCAGUAGGGAAUCUUCCGCAAUGGGCGAAAGCCUGACGGAGCAACGCCGCGUGAGUGAUGAAGGUCUUCGGAUCGUAAAACUCUGUUAUUAGGGAAGAACAAAUGUGUAAGUAACUGUGCACGUCUUGACGGUACCUAAUCAGAAAGCCACGGCUAACUACGUG